Molecule: unclassified non-coding RNA, 429 nt
Filed under: soil metagenome
Description: partial contains 5.8S ribosomal RNA, internal transcribed spacer 2, and large subunit ribosomal RNA
Rfam family: 5.8S ribosomal RNA (bases 1-120)
Source: RNAcentral
GAUGAAGAACGUAGCGAAAUGCGAUACGUAAUGUGAAUUGCAGAAUUCAGUGAAUCAUCGAAUCUUUGAACGCAUAUUGCGCUCUUUGGUAUUCCGAAGAGCAUGCUUGUUUGAGUAUCAGUAAACACCUCAAAGACUUCAAUUUGUUUUGAAUGGCUUUGGACUUGAGCAAUCCCAACACCAGUCUUUACGAUCGGUGGAGGGUUGCUUGAAAUGCAGGUGCAGCUGGACAUUCUCCUGAGCUAAAAGCAUAUUUAUUUAGGCCCGUCAAACGGAUUAUUACUUUUGCUGCAGCUAACAUAAAGGGAGUUUGACCGUAUUGGCUGACUGAUGCAGGAUUUCACAAGGGUCGGCAACGAUUCUUGUAAAACUCGAUCUCAAAUCAAGUAAGACUACCCGCUGAACUUAAGCAUAUCAAUAAGCGGAGGA